AGGACGAACGCUGGCGGCGUGCUUAACACAUGCAAGUCGAGCGGAAAGGCCCUUCGGGGUACUCGAGCGGCGAACGGGUGAGUAACACGUGGGCAAUCUGCCCCUCGCUCUGGGAUAACUCCGGGAAACCGGGGCUAAUACCGGAUACGACCACUUUAGGCAUCUUCGGUGGUGGAAAGUUUUUCGGCGAGGGAUGAGCCCGCGGCCUAUCAGCUUGUUGGUGGGGUAAUGGCCUACCAAGGCAGUGACGGGUAG
This 255-nucleotide ribosomal RNA is filed under the name uncultured bacterium. RNAcentral describes it as "partial small subunit ribosomal RNA". It matches the Rfam family "Bacterial small subunit ribosomal RNA", at positions 26 to 286 of the family's 1533-position model. The record is from RNAcentral.